UAAAGGUACAUUGAGAGGAAAACACGGAAAAAAGUCAACGAGGUUCAGAAGUCUAUCUUCAACAGCUGUAAUCUGUUCUGCGCCCUCCAGUGACACCUACGUUCUCUUUUCUUCUCUCUUCCUCCUGCCGUAUCGUCUCACUGUGUGUUGUUUUACGGUCCUUUUUUUUUCUACACCUAGUCCUUCUUUUCCGGGCUUCUGUGUUGGGCGCUUUGCCGGCCCGACGAGCGCGCUGGUGUCCCAAGGGUGAAGUGCUCAAAGAAAGGAUUGCCAUAAUCGAGCCGGGGCACGGAGGUCGGAUCUCAUACACAAUUCCAAAAGUAUUACUUCAAAUGUAACUCUCUUUUCUUUUUUUUUCUCUGCUUGAACUGCUCUUUGCCUCGGCACUUGUGCCCGUCGCGCUCUCUUCGCUCGGCAGCAGACACGCAGAGGUAGGCACGCGCACGCACACAAAGAACUACUAAAGAAGUGUGAUAAGGCCCACAUACACGGAAACGGACGUGCCCAUGUUUUCUAGUCCCCCGCCAGUCGCCCCACUUGGCGCGCCGAUGCCACCACUGCUGAUGCACCACUGCUACCACAACGUCCUGUGCAAAUGCGGCGCCGUGGUGUGUACGCAGUGCUCGCGUGUGUGCAUGGCGUGUGACUGCCACGUGUGCCCCCACUGCCUUCCUUUCAAUAUGCGCCACUGCAAAAGUUGCUGCAUCGCAUGCUUUCGCAACUGCAGGCACAACUUGUGACACGCCUGCAAAUAUCGCCGUCCAUCAUUCAUCCUUGCCUUCGCUGUGUAUGAUCUCGUGGAUUGCUUUCUUGACACUGUGGGCAAGAAUGUGUUACGAUAUCAGGCGGCGCCCCGCCGCGGGGCGUGGCAGCGUGCCCAUUCACAGGAGUGCCUUCCUUAUACAAC
Molecule: unclassified non-coding RNA, 907 nt
Filed under: Leishmania donovani
Lineage: Eukaryota; Euglenozoa; Kinetoplastea; Trypanosomatida; Trypanosomatidae
Description: gene:unknown
Source: RNAcentral